GGAACUCACUCUCGCCGGCCACCCAGAGGAAGUUGGGGGACAAGGCCCUCCCCGCCCAGGAGAAGAACUCCCGCGACCAGCUGCUGGCCGCCAUCCGCUCCAGCAACCUCAAGCAGCUCAAGAAGGUGGAAGUGCCCAAGCUGCUGCAGUAGGGCCAGGCUGCGGGCACCACCCCUGGGCUGCCCAGACCCGCCCCGGCUGGCCUGCUGCGUCCGUCUGCCCGGGGCCCUGAGGCCGGGCCACGCCCUCUCAUCCGGACAUUUCCUCUCCACGGGCCGAUGUUUCUGGGCAAGAAGAGUCCUUCAGGCACCACUCGGAGGAGAUGGCGCGGGGAGCCGGGGAGGAUGUGCACAGGGACCAGUCGGCCCAGCCCCGCCCGCCAGGGCCAGGAUUCAGCUCUGAGGAGCCCUGGGCAAGGCUGCUGGGCUGGUGUGCAGGGCAGGGCAGACGACGGAGAUGGAGAGGGACGGGGACGGGGCUGUCCGCCCCCGCUGGACUAACAGAGCCUGGACAGACGGACAGUGCCUGGGGAGGGAGGGACAGGCGGCAGCUGGACCUGAAGGUUUGAUGCCAAAGCAGACGUUUUCCUACACCCACUCGCUAUGUUGUGAACCGCUGUCUUUCCAUAAGAUUUUGAUAAUAUAUUCCAGCCUUU
This is a long non-coding RNA of Myotis davidii, 655 nucleotides long. RefSeq lists it as uncharacterized. NCBI's taxonomy places the organism in Eukaryota, Metazoa, Chordata, Mammalia, Chiroptera, Vespertilionidae. The transcript has 2 exons. The record is from RefSeq and is a predicted model, not a curated record.